GCUGGUAAAAUGGAACCAAAUCGAGGACUCGAUGGAUUUGGUCCCCUUCAACCAGCUG
RNAcentral lists this microRNA precursor (58 nucleotides) under Petromyzon marinus (sea lamprey). RNAcentral's name for it is "Pma-Mir-133-o1-v2_pre stem-loop". It matches the Rfam family "mir-133 microRNA precursor family", at positions 9 to 68 of the family's 74-position model. Rfam says of the family: mir-133 was first experimentally characterised in mouse and homologues have since been discovered in several other species. Lineage: Eukaryota; Metazoa; Chordata; Hyperoartia; Petromyzontiformes; Petromyzontidae. The record is from RNAcentral.